GUAGAUUGGUGUGUCUGGCUCAGAAUCAAGCAAUAUAUCUUUAAGGCAUUUGGUGGUUGAGUUCUUGGGUAUUUCUGCUACACCACUCCUUAAUUCGGUAAUAGCUACCUGAUUUUGCUCCAAGGACUCGUUGGAUUUGAUAAUCAUCUUUUCUUCCUCAUUCUUGGCAUCAUUUUGGGCAUUAAAUGGAUGCACCUUCUCAAACUGCAUUCAUGCUCUAUUAGUUUAAAAGUCAUACAGACUGUAACAAUAAUCAGGAGAAUUAGGAACUUCCGCUGACUAAACUUAGAGAAAGGUGAGUAAACACCAACGCGAGUUUUGAAUUUGGGACCUGUACAUUUCAUCAUUAAUUACCCUUAUGGUGCUCAGACUAAGUAGUUGUAUUUUGUAUUAUCCAAGAGGAUCAGUUAUACUUACAUUUUGACAGGUGCACCGGUCGUUUCCAUGCUUACAUAAAUUUGAAGAUCUCGUGCUUCUGGAUUUCUUACUCCUGUUAAACCGAAAUAAAUUUGGAUGAGAAUGAGCAUACUGAAAUUACGAAAAGCGUGAUUCUACAAAUGAGAGCUAGAGCAAUGUGUUGUAAACUUAAGGUAUCAUCUCCAUUUUCACUUUUCAAUCCCUUUUGUGGACUGGACAUAUGAAAUUGCUAAAGACAAAUUAAACUUGGUCAUAAUCAUCUAAUCCAUUCCAAUAGGUCUUUGUUGUCUAUGUGUUAUGAGAAUUUUUGUUAUUAAAAUUGCUAAAUGUAAUAUGUAGUUUAAAUUCAUGCUGCUGGGCUGAUGGUCUUAUCUCCUUUCUGUCUUAUAUAUGUACAAAGCAACUUUAUACUUCAAUAAACUUAGUCUAAGAAGCUUACAUUAUCUGUUCUAAUUCACCAUUCUUUAGAGGACCCUCUCCAGAAGACAUAAUCUGAUAAUACAUCAGCCAAGCUUUGUAUCUCCUCGCCAUCUUUACCAUCAUAACAUAGACCUCAUUCUCAUCAAGAUUGAUAAAAGAUGCAGAUGUAAAUUCUUUUGAAUGUGUUUCCUUCCCUUCAUGCUCAAAGCUUAAGAUAAACAAACAUUGACACAGGUCCGUAGAUAUUUCAGUGUGAAGAAGCCUAGGUGAAACUGCAAGAGCUUGAAGAAAAUGCAUCGCGACUUGCCACUCAUCUCCUUGGAGCUUUCGAAUAACAGAGAGGUAAAAGUAGGAAUAGCCUAUCAAAUAAUUGUUUGGAAUUCCGGCUGUUUCUCCUUGCUCGUCGAGUGAGGCUGGAACUUGAAGCAUGUUCUCUGAAUUCUGCAGCCUUGAUGUUUUCUCUUCACUCCAUUUUGCUUGAAUUGCUGCUUCUAUACUCUCUAUCCCCCAAUAAAGAUUCGACAAUAUUGAUUGCUCCGAGAAUUCAAGGUACCCUCUAUUACAAACAUCAAGCUUUGAACUGCAUUUCAAUUUCAAGCAUUUCCGAGAUUUUGUAUCUUCAAGAAAUUCAGUUAUAUGUUGAUUGAUCACAGUGACGAAUGCACGGACUGAUUCAAGGUCUAGUUUAUCAUCAUAUGAAAAGCAAGGAGGAGGGGUAGCAACAGCAGACGAAGAAGAUGCAGAAGCCAUUGAAUUAUGUGACAUUUUGGCUUCAUGAAGAAAAACAAGG
This 1627-nucleotide long non-coding RNA is filed under the name Nicotiana benthamiana. RNAcentral's name for it is "long non-coding RNA (NBEN_LNC037074)". The record is from RNAcentral. Lineage: Eukaryota; Viridiplantae; Streptophyta; Magnoliopsida; Solanales; Solanaceae.